CCUACGGGAGGCAGCAGUGAGGAAUAUUGGUCAAUGGUCGGGAGACUGAACCAGCCAAGCCGCGUGAGGGAGGAAGGUACAGAGUAUCGUAAACCUCUUUUGUCAGGGAACAAAGACUGGGACGCGUCCCCGGAUGAGUGUACCUGAUGAAAAAGCAUCGGCUAACCCCGUGCCCGCAGCCGCGGUAGUACGGAGGAUGCGAGCGUUAUCCGGAUUUAUGGGGUUAAAGGGGUGCGCAGGCGGUCUGUUUAGUCAGCGGUCAAGGCCCGGGGCUCAACCCCGACCCGCCGUUGAAACUGGCAGUCUCGAGUGGGAGCGAAGUAUGCGGAAUGCGCGGUGUAGCGGUGAAAUGCAUAGAUAUCGCGCAGAACUCCGAUUGCGAAGGCAGCAUGCCGGCUCCACACUGACGCUGAGGCACGAAAGCGUGGGUAUCGAACAGGAUUAGAUACCCCUGUAGUC
RNAcentral lists this ribosomal RNA (459 nucleotides) under uncultured bacterium. RNAcentral describes it as "partial 16S ribosomal RNA". It matches the Rfam family "Bacterial small subunit ribosomal RNA", at positions 338 to 795 of the family's 1533-position model. The record is from RNAcentral.